Molecule: ribosomal RNA, 433 nt
Filed under: uncultured bacterium
Lineage: Bacteria
Description: partial 16S ribosomal RNA
Rfam family: Bacterial small subunit ribosomal RNA
Source: RNAcentral
AACGAACGCUGGCGGCAUGCCUAACACAUGCAAGUCGAACGAGACCUUCGGGUCUAGUGGUGCACGGGUGCGUAACGCGUGGGAACCUGCCCUUAGGUUCGGAAUAACUCCCCGAAAGGGGUGCUAAUACCGGAUAAUGUCUUCGGACCAAAGAUUUAUCGCCUUUGGAUGGGCCCGCGUUGGAUUAGCUAGUUGGUAGGGUAAAAGCCUACCAAGGCGACGAUCCAUAGCUGGUCUGAGAGGAUGAUCAGCCACACUGGGACUGAGACACGGCCCAGACUCCUACGGGAGGUAGCAGUGGGGAAUAUUGGACAAUGGGCGAAAGCCUGAUCCAGCAAUGCCGCGUGAGUGAUGAAGGCCUUAGGGUUGUAAAGCUCUUUUACCCGGGAUGAUAAUGACAGUACCGGGAGAAUAAGCUCCGGCUAACUCCGUG